UCUGGUUGAUCCUGCCAGUAGUCAUAUGCUUGUCUCAAAGAUUAAGCCAUGCAUGUCUAAGUAUAAAUAGUAUACAGUGAAACUGCGAAUGGCUCAUUAAAACAGUUAUAGUUUAUUUGAUAAUUGACAAUUACAUGGAUAACCGUGGUAAUUCUAGAGCUAAUACAUGCUUAAACGCCCGACUUUAUGGAAGGGUGGUAUUUAUUAGACUGAAGCCAAUAUUCCUUGUGUCUAUUGCGGUGAUUCAUAAUAACUGAUCGAAUCUCCUUUUGAGAUAAAUCAUUCAAGUUUCUGCCCUAUCAGCUUUCGAUGGUAGUGUAUUGGACUACCAUGGCAGUAACGGGUAACGAAGAAUUAGGGUUCGAUUUCGGAGAGGGAGCAUGAGAAACGGCUACCACAUCUAAGGAAGGCAGCAGGCGCGUAAAUUACCCAAUCCUGACUCAGGGAGGUAGUGACAAGAAAUAGCAAACCGGGAACCUCAUGGUUUCACGGUAUUGCAAUGAGAACAAUUUAAAACCCUUAGCGAGAAUCAAGUGGAGGACAAGUCUGGUGCCAGCACCCGCGGUAAUUCCAGCUCCACUAGCGUAUAUUAAAGUUGUUGCAGUUAAAAAGCUCGUAGUUGAACCUCUGUCUGGGGCUAGUUUUGGCUUUGGUCAGGCUAGUUCUAGGCAUCCGCCUACAAGACUUAGAGGGCAUUCAGUUGUUCACUAGGAGGAGUAGGCAUUUUACUUUGAAAAAAUUAGAGUGUUUAAGGCAGGCAAUCGCCCGCAUAUAUUAGCAUGGAGUAAUAGAAUAGGACACUUUUCCAUUUCGUUGGUUAUUGGAAUCGUGUAAUGAUUAAUAGGGACAGUUGUGGGCAUUUGUAUUUAAUUGUCAGAGGUGGAAUUCUUGGAUUUAUAAAAGACAAACUAACGCGAAAGCAUUUGCCAAGGAUGUUUUCAUUAAUCAAGAACGAAAGUUAGGGGAUCAAAGACGAUCAGAUACCGUCCUAGUCUUAACUAUAAACUAUUCCGACUCAAUGUUUGACUGGCCUAUAUAACCAGUUGAGCGUUGUAUGAGAAAUCAAAGUCUUUAGGUUCUGGGGGGAGUAUGGUUGCAAAGCUGAAACUUAAAGGAAUUGACGGAAGAGCACAACCAGGAGUGGAUUCUGCGGCUUAAUUUGACUCAACACGGGGAAACUUACCAGGUUAAAACAAUAGUGGGAUUGACAGUUUGAGAGCGCUUUCUUGAUUGGUUGGGUGGUGGUGCAUGGCCGUUCUUAGUUGGUGGAGUGAUUUGUCUGCUUAAUUGCGUUAACGAACGAGACCUUAACCUGCUUACUAGACUGGCGAUCAUCAAUCGUUAGCUCUUCUUAGAGGGACUUUGGUUGUUUUAACUCCAAGGAAGU
Molecule: ribosomal RNA, 1387 nt
Filed under: metagenome
Description: SSU rRNA
Rfam family: Eukaryotic small subunit ribosomal RNA
Source: RNAcentral